This 235-nucleotide ribosomal RNA is filed under the name uncultured bacterium. RNAcentral's name for it is "partial 16S ribosomal RNA". It matches the Rfam family "Bacterial small subunit ribosomal RNA", at positions 101 to 334 of the family's 1533-position model. The record is from RNAcentral.
GAAACGGGUGCGGAACACGUACACAACCUUCCUUCAAAUGGGGAAUAGCCCAGGGAAACUUGGAUUAAUACCCCGUAAUAUUAUGAAGUGGCAUCACUUUAUAAUUAUAGCUCCGGCGUUUGGAGAUGGGUGUGCGGCUGAUUAGGUAGUUGGCGGGGUAACGGCCCACCAAGCCUGCGAUCAGUAACUGGUGUGAGAGCACGACCAGUCACACGGGCACUGAGACACGGGCCCG